ACGGGAGGCAGCAGCUACGAAUAUUCCGCAAUGGACGAAAGUCUGACGGAGCGACGCCGCGUGGAUGAUGAAGGUCGGAAGAUUGUAAAAUCCUUUUAAGCAUGAAGAAUAAGCAGGACAGGUAAUGGUUCUGUGGUGACGGUAGUGCUUGAAUAAGCAACGGCUAAUUACGUGCCAGCAGCCGCGGUAAUACGUAAGUUGCGAGCGUUGUUCGGAAUUAUUGGGCGUAAAGGGCAUGUAGGCGGAUAUGCAAGCUUGGUGUGAAAGGCGGGAGCUUAACUCCCGGACUGCGUUGAGAACUGCAUAACUAGAGGGACUGAGGGGCAGGCAGAAUUCCAGGUGUAGGGGUGAAAUCUGUAGAUAUCUGGAAGAAUACCAAUGGCGAAGGCAGCCUGCCAGCAGAUGACUGACGCUGAGGUGCGAAGGUGCGGGGAGCAAACAGGAUAAGAUACCCUGUA
This 458-nucleotide ribosomal RNA is filed under the name uncultured Treponema sp. RNAcentral describes it as "bacterial SSU rRNA". It matches the Rfam family "Bacterial small subunit ribosomal RNA", at positions 341 to 791 of the family's 1533-position model. The record is from RNAcentral. Lineage: Bacteria; Pseudomonadati; Spirochaetota; Spirochaetia; Treponematales; Treponemataceae.